CGUUCCCGGGUCUUGUACACACCGCCCGUCACACCACGAAAAGUCGGCAACACCCGAAAGCCGGUGGCCUAACCCGCAAGGGAGGGAGCCGUCGAAGGUGGGGCUGGCGAUUGGGGUG
RNAcentral lists this ribosomal RNA (118 nucleotides) under uncultured bacterium. RNAcentral describes it as "partial 16S ribosomal RNA". It matches the Rfam family "Bacterial small subunit ribosomal RNA", at positions 1369 to 1482 of the family's 1533-position model. The record is from RNAcentral.